GCCCGAAUCCUGACACAGGGAGGUAGUGACAAGAAAUAACAAUACAGGGCUACUUCUAGUCUUGUAAUUGGAAUGAGUACAACUUACAUCUCUUCACGAGGAUCAACUGGAGGGCAAGCCUGGUGCCAGCAGCCGCGGUAAUUCCAGCUCCAGAAGCGUAUAUUAAAGUUGUUGCAGUUAAAACGCUCGUAGUCGGGUUUCGGGUCGGGCCGAGCGGUCUGCCGAUGGGUAUGCACUGUUUGGCGCGGCCUUCUUUCCGGAGACCGCGGCUACUCCUAACUGAGCGGGCGUGGGAGACGGAUCGUUUACUUUGAAAAAAUCAGAGUGUUUCAAGCAGGCAGCUCGCUCUUGCAUGGUACAGCAUGGGAUGAUUGAAUAGGACUCCGGUGCUAUUUUGUUGGUUUCGAACACCAGGAGUAAUGAUUAACAGGGACAGUCAGGGGCACUCGUAUUCCGUCGAGAGAGGUGAAAUUCUCAGACCAAUGGAAGACGAACCACUGCGAAAGCAUUUGCCAGGGAUGUUUUCACUGAUCAAGAACGAAAGUUAGGGGAUCGAAGACGAUCAGAUACCGUCGUAGUCUUAACCAUAAACCAUGCCGACUAGGGAUUGGAGGGUGUUCGUUUCGACCUCUUCAGCACCUUACGGGAAACUAAAGUCUUUGGGUUCCGGGGGGAGUAUGGUCGCAAGGCUGAAACUUAAAGGAAUUGACGGAAGGGCACCACCAGGAGUGGAGCCUGCGGCUUAAUUUGACUCAACACGGGGAAACUUACCAGGUCCAGACAUUGUUAGGAUUGACAGAUUGAGAGCUCUUUCUUGAUUC
RNAcentral lists this ribosomal RNA (821 nucleotides) under uncultured marine Phaeocystaceae. Its description in RNAcentral is "SSU rRNA". It matches the Rfam family "Eukaryotic small subunit ribosomal RNA", at positions 443 to 1268 of the family's 1831-position model. Lineage: Eukaryota; Haptophyta; Phaeocystales; Phaeocystaceae. The record is from RNAcentral.